GACGAACUGUCCUAACGUUGUUCGGAAUCACUGGGCUUAAAGGGCGUGCAGGCGGUCUGUUAAGUCUAGGGUGAAAGCUCCCGGCUCAACUGGGAGAGGUCCUUGGAUACUGGCGGACUUGAGGGAGGCAGAGGAAAGUGGAAUUCCCGGUGUAGUGGUGAUAUGCGUAGAUAUCGGGAGGAACACCAGUGGCGAAGGCGGCUUUCUGGGCCUUACCUGACGCUGAGACGCGAAAGCGUGGGGAGCGAACCGG
This 253-nucleotide ribosomal RNA is filed under the name uncultured bacterium. Its description in RNAcentral is "partial 16S ribosomal RNA". It matches the Rfam family "Bacterial small subunit ribosomal RNA", at positions 524 to 776 of the family's 1533-position model. The record is from RNAcentral.